UACGGAAGGUGCAAGCAUUAAUCGGAAUUAUUGGGCGUAAAGGGCGCGUAGGCGGAUUUGUAAGUCAGAUGUGAAAUACCGAAGCUUAACUUCGGUGCUGCAUUUGAAACUACAAAUCUAGAGGGUUGACGGAGAAAACGGAAUUCCACGUGUAGCGGUGAAAUGCGUGGAUAUGUGGAAGAACACCGGUGGCGAAGGCGGUUUUCUAGUUAAUACCUGACGCUGAGGCGCGAGAGCAAGGGGAGCAAACAGG
This 253-nucleotide ribosomal RNA is filed under the name uncultured bacterium. Its description in RNAcentral is "partial 16S ribosomal RNA". It matches the Rfam family "Bacterial small subunit ribosomal RNA", at positions 524 to 776 of the family's 1533-position model. The record is from RNAcentral.